GAUGAACGCUGGCGGCGUGCCUAAUACAUGCAAGUCGAGCGAACAGACGAGGAGCUUGCUUCUCUGACGUUAGCGGCGGACGGGUGAGUAACACGUGGAUAACCUACCUAUAAGACUGGGAUAACUUCGGGAAACCGGAGCUAAUACCGGAUAAUAUAUUAAAAUGAAUGGUUCUAUAGUGAAAGACGGUUUUGCUGUCACUUAUAGAUUGAUCCGCGCCGCAUUAGCUAGUUGGUAAGGUAACGGCUUACCAAGGCGACGAUGCGUAGCCGACCUGAGAGGGUGAUCGGCCACACUGGAACUGAGACACGGUCCAGACUCCUACGGGAGGCAGCAGUAGGGAAUCUUCCGCAAUGGGCGAAAGCCUGACGGAGCAACGCCGCGUGAGUGAUGAAGGUCUUCGGAUCGUAAAACUCUGUUAUUAGGGAAGAAAAAAUGUUGAAGUAACUAUGCACGUCUUGACGGUACCUAAGCAGAAAGCCACGGCUAACUACGUG
Molecule: ribosomal RNA, 497 nt
Filed under: uncultured bacterium
Lineage: Bacteria
Description: partial 16S ribosomal RNA
Rfam family: Bacterial small subunit ribosomal RNA
Source: RNAcentral